RNAcentral lists this ribosomal RNA (491 nucleotides) under uncultured bacterium. RNAcentral's name for it is "partial 16S ribosomal RNA". It matches the Rfam family "Bacterial small subunit ribosomal RNA", at positions 28 to 507 of the family's 1533-position model. The record is from RNAcentral.
GAUGAACGCUGGCUACAGGCUUAACACAUGCAAGUCGAGGGGAAACGACGGGGAAGCUUGCUUCCCCGGGCGUCGACCGGCGCACGGGUGAGUAACGCGUUUCCAACCUGCCUCUGACUGAGGGAUAACCCGUCGAAAGUCGGCCUAAUACCUCAUGGCAUCGUCUGCGGGCAUCCAACGACGAUUAAAGAUUUCAUCGGUCAGGGAUGGGGAUGCGUCUGAUUAGCUUGUUGGCGGGGUAACGGCCCACCAAGGCUACGAUCAGUAGGGGUUCUGAGAGGAAGGUCCCCCACAUUGGAACUGAGACACGGUCCAAACUCCUACGGGAGGCAGCAGUGAGGAAUAUUGGUCAAUGGGCGGGAGCCUGAACCAGCCAAGUAGCGUGCAGGAUGACGGCCCUAUGGGUUGUAAACUGCUUUUAUGCGGGGAUAAAGUGAGGGACGUGUCCUUCAUUGCAGGUACCGCAUGAAUAAGGACCGGCUAAUUCCGUG